UACGUAGGGUGCAAGCGUAAUCGGAAUUACUGGGCGUAAAGCGUGCGCAGGCGGUUAUGUAAGACAGGUGUGAAAUCCCCGGGCUUAACCUGGGAACUGCAUUUGUGACUGCAUAGCUAGAGUACGGUAGAGGGGGAUGGAAUUCCGCGUGUAGCAGUGAAAUGCGUAGAUAUGCGGAGGAACACCGAUGGCGAAGGCAAUCCCCUGGACCUGUACUGACGCUCAUGCACGAAAGCGUGGGGAGCAAACAGG
This 252-nucleotide ribosomal RNA is filed under the name uncultured bacterium. RNAcentral's name for it is "partial 16S ribosomal RNA". It matches the Rfam family "Bacterial small subunit ribosomal RNA", at positions 524 to 776 of the family's 1533-position model. The record is from RNAcentral.